GUGACUGUAGCUCAAUUGGUUAGAGCGUCAGCCUGUGGAGCUGAAUGUUGCGGGUUCGAUUCCCGUCAGUCACCCA
Molecule: transfer RNA, 76 nt
Filed under: Candidatus Roizmanbacteria bacterium CG09_land_8_20_14_0_10_41_9
Lineage: Bacteria; Candidatus Roizmaniibacteriota
Description: tRNA-His
Rfam family: tRNA
About the family: Transfer RNA (tRNA) molecules are approximately 80 nucleotides in length. Their secondary structure includes four short double-helical elements and three loops (D, anti-codon, and T loops).
Source: RNAcentral